CGCUGGCGGCGUGCCUAACACAUGCAAGUCGAACGCGGUUACCCCGCAAGGGGUAACUGAGUGGCGAACGGGUGAGUAACACGUGGGUGACCUGCCUUCGAGUGGGGGAUAACAUCCCGAAAGGGGUGCUAAUACCGCAUGAGAUCCUGCCUUUGAAGAGGUGGAGAUUAAAGCUGGGGAUCGUAAGACCUGGCGCUUGAAGAGGGGCCCGCGUCCGAUUAGCUAGUUGGUGGGGUAACGGCCUACCAAGGCGACGAUCGGUAGCCGGCCUGAGAGGGCGGACGGCCACACUGGGACUGAGACACGGCCCAGACUCCUACGGGAGGCAGCAGUGGGGAAUUGUUCGCAAUGGGCGAAAGCCUGACGACGCAACGCCGCGUGGAGGACGAAGAUUUUCGGAUCGUAAACUCCUUUCGAUCGGGACGAACGACUGGUGACCCAACACGUCAUCAGAGUGACGGUACCGAGAGAAGAAGCCCCGGCUAACUCCGUGCCAGCAGCCGCGGUAAUACGGGGGGGGCAAGCGUUGUUCGGAAUUACUGGGCGUAAAGGGCGCGUAGGCGGCCUGCUAAGUCACACGUGAAAUCCCUCGGCUCAACCGGGGAACUGCGUGUGAUAC
RNAcentral lists this ribosomal RNA (619 nucleotides) under uncultured Acidobacteriota bacterium. Its description in RNAcentral is "bacterial SSU rRNA". It matches the Rfam family "Bacterial small subunit ribosomal RNA", at positions 34 to 633 of the family's 1533-position model. Lineage: Bacteria; Pseudomonadati; Acidobacteriota. The record is from RNAcentral.